UGUGUUUGAGAAGGUUGUUUGCUUGCAGCUCUAUCACCACAACGUGGACUCAUGCUUUAUGGCUCUUCUUCAGAAACCUACUAGUAUCACUUGAGGCAACUCCAGAUGCUGAAGAAAUAUCAGGAUUUGGUUCACCUCACCUAAAAAGCCUGGAAUUGGUACAAAGGAAUAUGAUGCUACAUUUUAAUGCAACGGCUUUYAGGAACAGAUGCAGCCUCUGUGGGAAUGGGCACACUGACCUGCCCUGAUCACAUCAGCUGAUUUGAGAGAGAGAAGGGCUGGAUUUCUCACCUUCUGCCCCACAGAAAUGCUGGCYGGCAACAUCCCUACAUCCCUGGGCCUGUGGAAAUUAGCCCUAUGAUGUUUCAUUGGGGAGUCAUAAUUGAGAGGCAAGAUCUUCCUACUCUGACCAUUUUGAUUUAUGGACUGUGAGAAUCUAACCUGUACUAAUUUCCCUGAGACUAAAUGCUAGUGACUAUUAACUGCUACAUGAAAUAGCAGCAUUAACUGGCUAAGACUCUCUGGUGAGAGCAAGAAGGAGGCUUAAACUGAGCAUUUUUAGAUCAAGUCAUGAGGCUUUUUC
This is a long non-coding RNA of Nothoprocta perdicaria, 583 nucleotides long. RefSeq lists it as uncharacterized. The transcript has 3 exons. The record is from RefSeq and is a predicted model, not a curated record. Lineage: Eukaryota; Metazoa; Chordata; Aves; Tinamiformes; Tinamidae.